GCUUACGGCCAUACCAACCUGGCUAUGCCCGAUCUCGUCUGAUCUCGGAAGCUAAGCAGGUUUGGGCCUGGUUAGUACUUGGAUGGAGACCGCCUGGGAAUACCAGGUGCUGUAAGCU
Carassius auratus (goldfish) is the source of this 118-nucleotide ribosomal RNA. NCBI's taxonomy places the organism in Eukaryota, Metazoa, Chordata, Actinopteri, Cypriniformes, Cyprinidae. The record is from Ensembl.